GGGGUUGUGGCUCAGUGGUAGAGUGCUUGCCUAGCAUGCGUGAGGCACUGGGUUCAAUCCUCAGCACCCCG
This 71-nucleotide transfer RNA is filed under the name Marmota marmota marmota (Alpine marmot). It matches the Rfam family "tRNA". From Rfam's summary of the family: Transfer RNA (tRNA) molecules are approximately 80 nucleotides in length. Their secondary structure includes four short double-helical elements and three loops (D, anti-codon, and T loops). Further hydrogen bonds mediate the characteristic L-shaped molecular structure. tRNAs have two regions of fundamental functional importance: the anti-codon, which is responsible for specific mRNA codon recognition, and the 3' end, to which the tRNAs corresponding amino acid is attached (by aminoacyl-tRNA synthetases). tRNAs cope with the degeneracy of the genetic code in two manners: having more than one tRNA (with a specific anti-codon) for a particular amino acid; and 'wobble' base-pairing, i.e. permitting non-standard base-pairing at the 3rd anti-codon position. Lineage: Eukaryota; Metazoa; Chordata; Mammalia; Rodentia; Sciuridae. The record is from Rfam by way of RNAcentral. RNAcentral also lists the same sequence under 1 other name.